This 72-nucleotide transfer RNA is filed under the name Spirochaetota bacterium. RNAcentral describes it as "Spirochaetes bacterium tRNA-Pro". It matches the Rfam family "tRNA". From Rfam's summary of the family: Transfer RNA (tRNA) molecules are approximately 80 nucleotides in length. The record is from RNAcentral. Lineage: Bacteria; Pseudomonadati; Spirochaetota.
CAGGGUGUAGCUCAACGGCGGAGCGCUAGUUUUGGGAACUAGAGGUUGGAGGUUCGAUUCCUCUCACCCUGA